AUACUUACCUGAUUGGAGAGAUACCCCAUCAGUUAGGUAAGGCGGUAUUCUCAGGGCAAGUCCUACCCAUUGCGCUUCAGGAGGGAAGGUUGACCCCUGCGAUUUCCCUAAAUGUGGGAAAGUCGAGUGUAAAUUUUGUAUGAUGCAGGAAACGAUUGACCAGC
This is a small nuclear RNA of Eptatretus burgeri (inshore hagfish), 164 nucleotides long. Its record names the gene U1. It matches the Rfam family "U1 spliceosomal RNA". Rfam says of the family: U1 is a small nuclear RNA (snRNA) component of the spliceosome (involved in pre-mRNA splicing). Lineage: Eukaryota; Metazoa; Chordata; Myxini; Myxiniformes; Myxinidae. The record is from Ensembl.